GUGCCAGGCCGCCGCGGUAAUACCGGCGGCCCAAGUGAUGGCCGCUGUUAUUGGGCCUAAAGCGUCCGUAGCUGGCCGCACAAGUCCGUCGGAAAAUCCACCCGCCCAACGGGUGGGCGUCCGGUGGAAACUGCGUGGCUUGGGACCGGAAGGCGCGACGGGUACGUCCGGGGUAGGAGUGAAAUCCCGUAAUCCUGGACGGACCGCCGAUGGCGAAAGCACGUCGCGAAGACGGAUCCGACAGUGAGGGACGAAAGCCAGGGUCUCCAACCGGAUUAGAAACCCUAGUAGUCC
RNAcentral lists this ribosomal RNA (294 nucleotides) under uncultured bacterium. RNAcentral's name for it is "partial 16S ribosomal RNA". It matches the Rfam family "Archaeal small subunit ribosomal RNA", at positions 455 to 747 of the family's 1478-position model. The record is from RNAcentral.